CCGACUCAUAAUCAAUGUGACUGAAACACUAAGGAGCGCUCUGCUGGACUCCCUCGACAAGAGCCCUAGAUACAGAGGAGAUCAAACCCAGAGAGCAGAGUGGAGUGGAGAGCUUUCAUAACGACGGGAACAAUCCACAAGCCCCGCUGUCGAAGGAUUACUGGUGUUAUGAGAUGGAUGCCACCUAACCUCAAUAUGCAAAUGCCUACUGGCUCCUACAGAGAACGGCAUGCUGGGAAACUCCCUGGUGUUGGGUUCCUCUGGAGGAGCAGG
This is a non-coding RNA of Poecilia reticulata (guppy), 273 nucleotides long. The record is from RefSeq and is a predicted model, not a curated record. NCBI's taxonomy places the organism in Eukaryota, Metazoa, Chordata, Actinopteri, Cyprinodontiformes, Poeciliidae.